This 464-nucleotide ribosomal RNA is filed under the name uncultured bacterium. Its description in RNAcentral is "partial 16S ribosomal RNA". It matches the Rfam family "Bacterial small subunit ribosomal RNA", at positions 339 to 795 of the family's 1533-position model. The record is from RNAcentral.
CUACGGGCGGCUGCAGUGGGGAAUAUUGGACAAUGGGGGAAACCCUGAUCCAGCAAUGCCGCGUGUGUGAAGAAGGCCUGCGGGUUGUAAAGCACUUUCGGUUGGGAGGACUGCUUCUAGCACUAAUAUUGUUGGAAGUUGACGUUACCUUCAGAAGAAGCACCGGCUAACUCCGUGCCAGCAGUCGCGGUAAUACGGAGGGUGCAAGCGUUAAUCGGAAUUACUGGGCGUAAAGCGCGCGUAGGCGGCUAGAUCAGUCGGGUGUGAAAGCCCCGGGCUUAACCUGGGAACUGCAUCCGAUACUGUCUAGCUAGAGUACAGGAGAGGAGAGUGGAAUUCCACAUGUAGCGGUGAAAUGCGUAGAUAUGUGGAGGAACACCAAUGGCGAAGGCAGCUCUCUGGCCUGAUACUGACGCUGAGGUGCGAAAGCGUGGGGAGCAAACAGGAUUGAUACCCCCGUAGUC